AAGCUCGUAGUUGAAUUUCGGGAUCAAUUUAUUGGUCGUGCAAUAGUACGUACUGGUAUUAUUGAUUCCUACCUUCUGACGAACCAUGAUGUCAUUAAUUUGGUGUCAUGGGGAAUCAGGACUGUUACUUUGAAAAAAUUAGAGUGUUUAAAGCAGGCUCACGCUUGAAUACAUUAGCAUGGAAUAACGGAAUAGGACGUUUGAUUCUAUUUUGUUGGUUUCUAGGAUCGACGUAAUGAUUAAUAGGGAUAGUUGGG
RNAcentral lists this ribosomal RNA (257 nucleotides) under uncultured Glomeromycotina. Its description in RNAcentral is "partial 18S ribosomal RNA". It matches the Rfam family "Eukaryotic small subunit ribosomal RNA", at positions 624 to 886 of the family's 1831-position model. Lineage: Eukaryota; Fungi; Glomeromycota. The record is from RNAcentral.